GCCCGAGUGGUGAAAUCGGUAGACACAAGGGAUUAAGGGAUUUAAAAUCCCUCGCUUUUCGAAGCGUGCCAGUUCAAGUCUGGCCUCGGGCACCA
RNAcentral lists this transfer RNA (95 nucleotides) under Pasteurella multocida. Its description in RNAcentral is "tRNA-Leu". It matches the Rfam family "tRNA". From Rfam's summary of the family: Transfer RNA (tRNA) molecules are approximately 80 nucleotides in length. Lineage: Bacteria; Pseudomonadati; Pseudomonadota; Gammaproteobacteria; Pasteurellales; Pasteurellaceae. The record is from RNAcentral.